AAGCCAGGAGUGGUGGCGCACGCUUU
Molecule: non-coding RNA, 26 nt
Filed under: Mus musculus (house mouse)
Lineage: Eukaryota; Metazoa; Chordata; Mammalia; Rodentia; Muridae
Source: RNAcentral